This 835-nucleotide long non-coding RNA is filed under the name Homo sapiens (human). RNAcentral's name for it is "long intergenic non-protein coding RNA 1013". Lineage: Eukaryota; Metazoa; Chordata; Mammalia; Primates; Hominidae. The record is from RNAcentral.
GAGACUCCCUGGGGUGAAGGGAAAUGCCACAGACAUCCAUGGUCUUGGAUGCUCAACAGAAGUGCUUGCCUUGGUGAUCCAAAAAAGGCAGGAUCCGGCCGGGGGCAAGGUGAUUAUUCUGUCUGAUGAGGAGAAUAAGAGCCAGUUUGUGGUAUUGACAGAAGAAUGAAAGUAAAGGAAGCUUACUGCAGGAAAGAAAUCCCUCAGAGUCCUGAAGAUACAGCUUUCAGAACUUAGGUGAAGCAAGAGGACUCAAGGUGUGCAAGAAUGGACAGUACAGAAUGCUCUGCUACACUGCUCAGAUUCCCCCUUCAGGAAGGAAGGACAAAUUCACUCAACUUCUGGGAGCAUUGAUGGUUGAGCUCUCAGCCAUCAGACCUUUUUGGAAGUUGCCCUCUUCUGAAAAGAGGCACAUUGCCCAAGAUCUUUCCUCCUCCAGAGCGCAGGCUGCACCUGAAGUCUGAUUGAUGUGGGUUCAACCAAUCUACAAAGGCCAAAAAUAUUUUCACAGGCCCCCAAAAGAUGAACUCCAAUCUGCUGCCCCUAAACGCAUUCUCCACUGUCUGGAAGAUGUGCAAAGGCAACGGCACAGCGUUCUCCAUCUCAAAUCCUUCAAAGUGCUGUCAGAAUAAAAGAAUCCCCACCAAAAGCCCCAGGGAAAUCUAUCUGUCUGUAUGGUAUGGUAAUGACUGAGGUUAUUCCAGAUAGGAUUCUGGGAGAAACUCAGCUAUUGAAAUCUAAUGAAUGGAACUGAGAAUUUCUUGUUAUAAUACUGUUUGUUUGAUUGAAUAUAUCCUUGCAUAUAGGAAGACAUAAAAAUAAAUAAUAAAAGCAA